AUAAUGGGUCAGCGACUUAUAUUCUGUAGCAAGGUUAACCGAAUAGGGGAGCCGAAGGGAAACCGAGUCUUAACUGGGCGUUAAGUUGCAGGGUAUAGACCCGAAACCCGGUGAUCUAGCCAUGGGCAGGUUGAAGGUUGGGUAACACUAACUGGAGGACCGAACCGACUAAUGUUGAAAAAUUAGCGGAUGACUUGUGGCUGGGGGUGAAAGGCCAAUCAAACCGGGAGAUAGCUGGUUCUCCCCGAAAGCUAUUUAGGUAGCGCCUCGUGAAUUCAUCUCCGGGGGUAGAGCACUGUUUCGGCAAGGGGGUCAUCCCGACUUACCAACCCGAUGCAAACUGCGAAUACCGGAGAAUGUUAUCACGGGAGACACACGGCGGGUGCUAACGUCCGUCGUGAAGAGGGAAACAACCCAGACCGCCAGCUAAGGUCCCAAAGUCAUGGUUAAGUGGGAAACGAUGUGGGAAGGCCCAGACAGCCAGGAUGUUGGCUUAGAAGCAGCCAUCAUUUAAAGAAAGCGUAAUAGCUCACUGGUCGAGUCGGCCUGCGCGGAAGAUGUAACGGGGCUAAACCAUGCACCGAAGCUGCGGCAGCGACGCUGAUGCGUUGUUGGGUAGGGGAGCGUUCUGUAAGCCUGCGAAGGUGUGCUGUGAGGCAUGCUGGAGGUAUCAGAAGUGCGAAUGCUGACAUAAGUAACGAUAAAGCGGGUGAAAAGCCCGCUCGCCGGAAGACCAAGGGUUCCUGUCCAACGUUAAUCGGGGCAGGGUGAGUCGACCCCUAAGGCGAGGCCGAAAGGCGUAGUCGAUGGGAAACAGGUUAAUAUUCCUGUACUUGGUGUUACUGCGAAGGGGGGACGGAGAAGGCUAUGUUGGCCGGGCGACGGUUGUCCCGGUUUAAGCGUGUAGGCUGGUUUUCCAGGCAAAUCCGGAAAAUCAAGGCUGAGGCGUGAUGACGAGGCACUACGGUGCUGAAGCAACAAAUGCCCUGCUUCCAGGAAAAGCCUCUAAGCAUCAGGUAACAUCAAAUCGUACCCCAAACCGACACAGGUGGUCAGGUAGAGAAUACCAAGGCGCUUGAGAGAACUCGGGUGAAGGAACUAGGCAAAAUGGUGCCGUAACUUCGGGAGAAGGCACGCUGAUAUGUAGGUGAAGUCCCUCGCGGAUGGAGCUGAAAUCAGUCGAAGAUACCAGCUGGCUGCAACUGUUUAUUAAAAACACAGCACUGUGCAAACACGAAAGUGGACGUAUACGGUGUGACGCCUGCCCGGUGCCGGAAGGUUAAUUGAUGGGGUUAGCGCAAGCGAAGCUCUUGAUCGAAGCCCCGGUAAACGGCGGCCGUAACUAUAACGGUCCUAAGGUAGCGAAAUUCCUUGUCGGGUAAGUUCCGACCUGCACGAAUGGCGUAAUGAUGGCCAGGCUGUCUCCACCCGAGACUCAGUGAAAUUGAACUCGCUGUGAAGAUGCAGUGUACCCGCGGCAAGACGGAAAGACCCCGUGAACCUUUACUAUAGCUUGACACUGAACAUUGAGCCUUGAUGUGUAGGAUAGGUGGGAGGCUUUGAAGUGUGGACGCCAGUCUGCAUGGAGCCGACCUUGAAAUACCACCCUUUAAUGUUUGAUGUUCUAACGUUGACCCGUAAUCCGGGUUGCGGACAGUGUCUGGUGGGUAGUUUGACUGGGGCGGUCUCCUCCUAAAGAGUAACGGAGGAGCACGAAGGUUGGCUAAUCCUGGUCGGACAUCAGGAGGUUAGUGCAAUGGCAUAAGCCAGCUUGACUGCGAGCGUGACGGCGCGAGCAGGUGCGAAAGCAGGUCAUAGUGAUCCGGUGGUUCUGAAUGGAAGGGCCAUCGCUCAACGGAUAAAAGGUACUCCGGGGAUAACAGGCUGAUACCGCCCAAGAGUUCAUAUCGACGGCGGUGUUUGGCACCUCGAUGUCGGCUCAUCACAUCCUGGGGCUGAAGUAGGUCCCAAGGGUAUGGCUGUUCGCCAUUUAAAGUGGUACGCGAGCUGGGUUUAGAACGUCGUGAGACAGUUCGGUCCCUAUCUGCCGUGGGCGCUGGAGAACUGAGGGGGGCUGCUCCUAGUACGAGAGGACCGGAGUGGACGCAUCACUGGUGUUCGGGUUGUCAUGCCAAUGGCACUGCCCGGUAGCUAAAUGCGGAAGAGAUAAGUGCUGAAAGCAUCUAAGCACGAAACUUGCCCCGAGAUGAGUUCUCCCUGACUCCUUGAGAGUCCUGAAGGAACGUUGAAGACGACGACGUUGAUAGGCCGGGUGUGUAAGCGCAGCGAUGCGUUGAGCUAACCGGUACUAAUGAACCGUGAGG
RNAcentral lists this ribosomal RNA (2324 nucleotides) under Escherichia coli. RNAcentral's name for it is "partial 23S ribosomal RNA". It matches the Rfam family "Bacterial large subunit ribosomal RNA", at positions 612 to 2915 of the family's 2925-position model. Lineage: Bacteria; Pseudomonadati; Pseudomonadota; Gammaproteobacteria; Enterobacterales; Enterobacteriaceae. The record is from RNAcentral.